This is a long non-coding RNA of Delphinapterus leucas (beluga whale), 731 nucleotides long. RefSeq lists it as uncharacterized. The record is from RefSeq and is a predicted model, not a curated record. Lineage: Eukaryota; Metazoa; Chordata; Mammalia; Artiodactyla; Monodontidae.
UCAGGUCUGGAACCUGAAAUUCUGAGUUUGGUAACCAUCAGCAUAGAAGGAAAACUUAACACCGUGAAAUCUCUUUCAAGAGAGGAAAGCAGGGUAAUAUAGUGUCAAAUGGCUGGGGAGAAGUGAAAAAUGAUGAUGCGGGGAAGGUUCGGAGUGUAUCAUAAAACCAGAGAGCCCCGAAGUCCAGCUGUUCUACGAUGUGGUGUACAGCGGGGGAGAGGGCUCUAUCCUCUACCUUCGUUCCUUCAGUGUGGCACCUCCACUCAGUAUUCCCAAAGCCUGGUAGCCAAGGAACAAGCAAAGAAUCUUCAGAAGGAUAGAAGGGAGGUGAGAGGAAUGUUGUAAAUGCGCUUAGAUUUCUUUUUGCACUUUGACACACAUAAUCUCAUUGUCUUUUCUGAGAGUGGAUGGCCAAAGGUACCAGAGCUAUUAAUGGAGCUUCUACGAAUGCCUGAGGCAGCAACAGAGGAUCCUUUAAAGUAAUCUUGAACAUUAGAAAAUACAGUGAAGAGACAUUGCAGAUGUGGCUGCCAUGUCACAUUUGUGUCAUUAGGUGGCAGAGAGAAGAGAGACUUGUCUACGCUCGGCGUUCUGGCCUGUGGACGUCUGGAUGAUUGAUAGUCUGACUUGACAGAAAAGGACUUCCCUGGUGGUGCAGUGGUUAAGAAUCCGCCUGCCAAUACAGGAGACACGGGUUCGAGCCCUGGUCCGGGAAGAUGCCAUAUGCCACA